GAUCAUGGCUCAGGAUGAACGCUAGCUACAGGCUUAACACAUGCAAGUUGAGGGGAAACGAUAUUGGAAGCUUGCUUCCGAUAGGCGUCGACCGGCGCACGGGUGAGUAACGCGUAUCCAACCUGCCCAUCACUUGGGAAUAACCUUGCGAAAGUAAGACUAAUGCCCAAUGACAUUUAUAGAAGGCAUCGGAAAUGAAUUAAAGAUUUAUCGGUGAUGGAUGGGGAUGCGUCUGGUUAG
RNAcentral lists this ribosomal RNA (240 nucleotides) under uncultured bacterium. Its description in RNAcentral is "partial 16S ribosomal RNA". It matches the Rfam family "Bacterial small subunit ribosomal RNA", at positions 15 to 244 of the family's 1533-position model. The record is from RNAcentral.